UACGUAGGUGACAAGCGUUAUCCGGAAUUACUGGGCGUAAAGCGCACGCAGGCGGCGCGGUAAGUCUGAUGUGAAAUCUCCCGGCUUAACUGGGAGGGGUCAUUGGAAACUGCCGAGCUUGAGGCGAUGAGAGGGGUGUAGAAUUCCCGGUGUAGCAGUGAAAUGCGUAGAGAUCGGGAGGAACAUCUGUGGCGAAGGCGACUGCCUGGACCAGCACUGACACUGAGGCACGAAAGCGUGGGGAGCAAACAGG
RNAcentral lists this ribosomal RNA (253 nucleotides) under uncultured bacterium. Its description in RNAcentral is "partial 16S ribosomal RNA". It matches the Rfam family "Bacterial small subunit ribosomal RNA", at positions 524 to 776 of the family's 1533-position model. The record is from RNAcentral.